GUCACGAGUUUGAUCCUGGCUCAGAGUGAAUGCUAGUGGUAUGCUUGACACAUGCGAGUCGAACGGAGUGAUAUAAAAUUACUAAGUGGCGUACGGGUGAGUAAUGUAAAAGAAUUUAUAGUAUAGACUGGGAUAAAAUAUAAUAAUAAAUACCAGAUAUUUUGAAGGAGGUUUUCGCUAUACAAAAAGCUUUUAUAAGAUUAGGUAGUUGGUAGGGUAAGAGCCUACCAAGCCGAAGAUCUUUAGUUGGUCUGAGAAGGAUGAUCAACCACACUGGGACUGAAACAAGGCCCAGACUUCCAUGGAGGGCAGCAGUGAGGAAUAUUGGACAAUGGGCGCAAGCUUGAUCCAGCAAUACCAAAUGAGUGAAGAAGGUUUUAAAUUGUAAAGCUCUUGCGUUAAGGAGGAUAAUGACGUGUACUUAAAGAAGAAGCCCUGGCUAACUUCGUG
This 450-nucleotide ribosomal RNA is filed under the name uncultured bacterium. Its description in RNAcentral is "bacterial SSU rRNA". It matches the Rfam family "Bacterial small subunit ribosomal RNA", at positions 1 to 507 of the family's 1533-position model. The record is from RNAcentral.